RNAcentral lists this ribosomal RNA (455 nucleotides) under uncultured bacterium. RNAcentral describes it as "bacterial SSU rRNA". It matches the Rfam family "Bacterial small subunit ribosomal RNA", at positions 340 to 786 of the family's 1533-position model. The record is from RNAcentral.
UACGGAAGGCAGCAGUGGGGAAUAUUGCACAAUGGGCGCAAGCCUGAUGCAGCCAUGCCGCGUGUAUGAAGAAGGCCUUCGGGUUGUAAAGUACCUUCAGUCGUGAGGAAGGUGUUAAGGUUAAUAACCUUAGCAAUUGACGUUAGCGACAGAAGAAGCACCGGCUAACUCCGUGCCAGCAGCCGCGGUAAUACGGAGGGUGCGAGCGUUAAUCGGAAUUACUGGGCGUAAAGGGCACGCAGGCGGUUAAUUAAGUUGGAUGUGAAAUCCCCGGGCUUAACCUGGGAAUGGCAUUCAAGACUGGUUAGCUAGAGUCUUGUAGAGGGGGUAGAAUUCCAUGUGUAGCGGUGAAAUGCGUAGAGAUGUGGAGGAAUACCGGUGGGCGAAGGCGGCCCCUGGGACAAAGACUGACGCUCAUGUGCGAAAGCGUGGGGAGCAAACAGGGAUUAGAUACC